This 244-nucleotide small RNA is filed under the name Cryptococcus neoformans H99. RNAcentral describes it as "Cryptococcus neoformans var. grubii H99 hypothetical RNA". The record is from RNAcentral. Lineage: Eukaryota; Fungi; Basidiomycota; Tremellomycetes; Tremellales; Cryptococcaceae.
UCGGUAUCCGUGAUCCGACAGUUGAAAAAGAGAAACACUUGCCUCAUGGUCCAAACUUAAAGUCAAACAGUACGUAUUAAAGCUCCAGGACAACUUUGCAGUAGAACAGAGAACCGAUGUACAAACGUGAGGAGGUUUGGUCGAUUCUAUGGAUCGCCUAAUAAGCCUCCGCAAGGAGAAAACAGAUAGGAUAUGGGUAGUUGCAAGCUUUAUAUUGCCGUGGUACAUGCAAAGUUAUCCAUGC